GAUGAACGCUGGCGGCGUGCCUAAUACAUGCAAGUCGAGCGAACAGACGAGGAGCUUGCUCCUCUGACGUUAGCGGCGGACGGGUGAGUAACACGUGGAUAACCUACCUAUAAGACUGGGAUAACUUCGGGAAACCGGAGCUAAUACCGGAUAAUAUAUUGAACCGCAUGGUUCAAUAGUGAAAGACGGUUUUGCUGUCACUUAUAGAUGGAUCCGCGCCGCAUUAGCUAGUUGGUAAGGUAACGGCUUACCAAGGCAACGAUGCGUAGCCGACCUGAGAGGGUGAUCAGCCACACUAGAACUGAGACACGGUCCAGACUCCUACGGGAGGCAGCAGUAGGGAAUCUUCCGCAAUGGGCGAAAGCCUGACGGAGCAACGCCGCGUGAGUGAUGAAGGUCUUCGGAUCGUAAAGCUCUGUUAGUAGGGAAGAACAAAUGUGUGAGUAACUAUGCACGUCUUGACGGUACCUAAUCAGAAAGCCACGGCUAACUACGUG
Molecule: ribosomal RNA, 497 nt
Filed under: uncultured bacterium
Lineage: Bacteria
Description: partial 16S ribosomal RNA
Rfam family: Bacterial small subunit ribosomal RNA
Source: RNAcentral